UGCCUCUUAUCUCUCACUCGAACCUCUCCAUACUCUUUAGAACUCUCAGACUUGUCUCUCUCUCGUCGCUCUCUCUCUCCGUCUCACUCUCUCGACACUCUCAACUGACUCUUAGAACUCACUCUCUCUUGCGCGCUCUCUCUCUGACUCAGUCUCUCUCGUUCGCUCUCUAUUUUAGAUUGGAUCGUGGGAUCUUUUCCUACAAGCACCGAACAUCACUGGUUGAAGGUUGGUGUUCAAAGAAGUGGGUUGAGAACUCUUCCACACAGUGAAGCUAUAACAUUAGCUGUUGAUUGGCACCCGACUUUACCCAUUUCCGUUAGUGUAUCAGCUGAUAACUCGCACACAACGUUCUGCCUGGAGGAUCUGUCACCGACUUUGGGUGACCACAUCAUUUCUCUGUUCUUCCUGAAGGUGUCUUGCUUGCUACCAACAUUCACUCAAAAAGCCACUGGAACAAGAAUGGAGAUCGUUAUUCAAAUUGCAGGGAAAAUAGUAGAGUACACUUUUGCACCUGUUGGACAAUGGCUAUGCCAUUCAUUUCACUACAACAACGUCAUGGAGAAUCUGAAGAAUCAGGAAAAGACAUUGCGGGCUGUUCAGGACAAGGUGCAACACACAAUUGCUGCUGCUUCAAGAAACGGCCAGGAAAUUGAAGUAAUUGUUAGAUUGUGGUUGGAGAAGGUAGAUGAGGCCACCACGAAACUUAGCAAAAUCGAUGAAGAAGCACGUAACAGGAGCUCUAAUGCGGCAUGCCUAAACUUGAAACAUCGACAUCAAUUAAGUCGGGAAGCAAAGAAGUUGGUGGAAAAUAUUGCCCAACUUCUUGACGAAUAUCAUAAAAAUGAAAACUUUGUAAACGUUGGGCAUCAUCCUCCUCUAGAAGGAUUGGAGAUGACAGGAAACAAGGAUUACAUGGCCAUGGAGUCGAGAAUGACUGCGGUGAAGGAGAUUAUGGAGGCAUUGAGAAAUGCUGAUAUCGACAAGAUCGGGGUGUGGGGGAUGCCUGGAGUUGGAAAGAGUACUCUGAUGAAAGAAAUUGCCAGACAAGCCAGGGAAGAAAAGUUAUUCAAUGAGGUGGUUAUGGCAUUUGUGACAAACAGCCCAGAUGUAAGGCGAAUUCAAGGAGAGAUUGCAUACACGCUAGGUCUAAAUUUUGAUCAAGAAACUGAAAAAGGGAGAGCAAGUCAGCUGAAUCAGAGGCUAUCAAAGGACAAGAAGAUACUUGUUAUCCUAGAUGAUAUAUGGAAGGAACUUGAUUUACAGGAAAUAGGAAUUCCUUCCGAAGGAUGCAAGGUAGUAAUGACAUCCAGAGAUCGUGAUGUAUUAAUUUGUGGAAUGGGUGCCCGAAAAGAUAUUAAACUUGAAAUUUUACAGGAAGCAGAAGCAUUUAACUUAAUUGAGAAGAUUGCGGGUGAUUCUUUCAAAGAUCAGCCUGCAGCGAGACGCAUUGCAACUGAGAUAGCUAAAAAGUGUGAGGGUCUUCCUAUUGCACUUGUAAUAGUUUCAAAGGCAUUAAAAAAUAAGAGUUUAGGUGAAUGGAAGGACACCCUGCGCCGACUAAAAACCCCCGCUCCCGAAAACAUCACAGGCAUGUUGGGAAAAAUAUAUUCUCCAAUAGAGGUGAGUUAUAACAAUCUUGAAUCUCCGGAGUUAAAGUCCCUCUUUUUGCUUUGUGCACAGUUGCCUUACUUCCUUUUCUAUCGCGACUUGCUGAUAUACUCUUAUGGUUAUGGUUUAUCUCAUGGCAUUAAUACAUUAGAAGAAGCCAGAGACACGCAAGAUACACUACUUCGUAAACUAAAAGACUCUUGUCUACUGCUAGAACGUUCUGAUGGAUUUUGUAUGCAUGAUCUUGUUCGUGAUGUCGCUAUAAUAAUUGCAUCAAAGGAACGUAAUAUGUUUGUCAUGAGAGACGGUGGUGGGCUAAAAGAAUGGCCGGAUGUGGAUGCACUCAAAAGAUGCCAGGCGUUCUCUAUUUUUGAACAACUUCCCAAUGAAAUGGAAUUGGAAUGUCCCGAAUUAAUAUUCUUCCAUAUUUCUUCUAAAAGUUCUUCGCAAAUACCGAACACUUUGUUUCAAGGAAUGGAAAAGCUCAAAGUUUUGGAUUUGACAAAUAUGCGACUUACAUCACUUCCUUCGUCUCUUCUUGUCCUUCGAAACCUACAAACAUUAUGUCUGGAUGAUUGUAUGUUGGAAGACAUAUCUGGUAUUGGAGAACUCAAGAAUUUAGUUGUUCUUAGUCUUCUUUACUCUCAAAUUUCAAAAUUGCCUAGAGAAAUAGGGUCGUUGGUUCGUUUGCGGAUGUUAGAUUUGAGCAAAUGCUACAAACUUGAGAUGAUUCCUCCAAAUGUCAUAUCAAGCUUGGUCAAAUUAGAAGAGUUGUAUAUGGGAAACAGCAUUGUGCAAUGGGAGGUUGAAGGUCUCAAUGAUGAAAGAAAAAAUGCCAGCCUUGCUGAGCUAAAGCAUUUGUCAAAUCUUAACACUUUAGAGAUACAAAUUCCAGAUGUCAGCAAACUACCGAAAGACUUCAAUUUCGAAAAGUUGGUGAGAUACAAAAUAUGCAUAGGAGAUGUCUGGGACUGGUCUGACAAUGUUCAAUCCUCAAGAACACUAAAACUCAAGUUGAAUUCAAGCAUUCAAUCAGAGUUUUGGAACAAAAUGCCAUCGAAUAGAGUGGAAAUUCUUCAUUUAGAGGGCCGGUUGAAUGGUGUUAUGAGUGUCAUACCCGAAACAGAUACAGAAGUAUUUCAACAAAUGAAGUAUCUCCGCAUACAUAAUGGUGUUCAGCUUAAGUAUAUCGUUAACUUGAGCACAUCAGUUGUUGUGUUUCCUACCUUGGAGACAUUCAUUCUCAGUAAUAUGAUUAAAUUGGAAGAAAUAUGUCAGGGCGAACUUCCAUCGACAUCCUUUAAAAACUUGAGAGUUUUGAAGUUAGAAAAUUGUGAAAAAUUAAGAUUUGUCUUCUCAUCAUCCAUAGUUAGAGGCCUUUCACUACUUGAAAAAUUGAAAAUAAGAAGAUGCAACAGCAUGGGAGCGAUAGUUGUGAAAGAAGAAAAAGACGGAAUAGAAGAUGGAGAUGUAGUAUUGUUCCAUCAGCUGCAAACCUUGGUGCUAGAGGACCUUCCAGAGCUCGUGAGCUUCUUAAGCACAAGAAGUUCAUUUAUGACUGAUUGCGGGCAAAUCAUUGCAGAGGGCAACCACGAUCUUCACAUGCCACUUCUACAUUAUCAGCUUUCAUUCCCUAGUUUGAAAACCCUGCAGCUGAAACGUCUGCCCAAAAUAAAGCAUGUUUGGAGUAAAGAAAUCUCCAGGUUUCCAGAUCUACUUGAUUUAUGUGUUGAUAGAUGUGAGAAUUUGAAAAGUUUGUUUCCAGUAGCUGCAGUGGCUACAAGUCUAUCGAAAUUGAAGUCUCUUGAGAUAAGAAAUUGUGAGGUACUGGAGGAAAUUGUCCAGAGAGAAGAUGGGACGGAUCCAACAAUGAGGAUUUUAUUCACUAGCCUAACUUAUCUAAGUCUUGAAGGGUUGCCAAAACUCAAGUGGUUUUUUCAAGGGGUGCGUACUUUGGAAUCGUCGUCAUCUAAGGAAUUACAUGAGCAGGGAGGCACACUUUUCGGGGUUGAUGAGGUUUCCUUCCCUAGCUUGCAAACACUGCAUAUGAAGGGUCUUCCCAAAAUAAAGCACGUAUGGAACUGUGGUCAAGAACCCAAAACAGUUUUCAAAUGUGUAGAGCAAUUGAAAACACUUUGGAUUAAGAAUUGUGAGGUACUGGAGGAAAUUGUUGGAGGUGGAGGAGGAGCAGGAGCAGUAGCAAGGACAUUAUUGGAGUUCCCUCGAGUAACAAAUUUGAGACUUGAAAAUUUAAAGAGACUCAAGUGGUUUUACAAAGGAGUGCAUGUUUCAAAAUGGCCCAUGUUGGAAGAGAUUCAGAUUGAAGGAUGCGAGAAAGUGGAGAUAUUUGCUUCAGGAGUUGUGAGCUUUGAAGAAACAGUUGAAGAUAGGCCGUCUGAGAUGUCCAUUAAACAACCCAUUUUCUUGGUGGAUGAGCUCUCGUUUUCGAGCUUGAAGAAGUUGCUCAUUCAGAACAUGGAUAAGUUGGAAAUUAUAUGGCAGGAUCAAGUGGCUGCGAGUUCUUUUUCCAAAAAUAUUCAAGAUGUGGAGAUUGAUGGAUGUGAAAAGUUGUUGCACGUCUUUCAAUCUAAUUUUCGUACAACAACAAUAUUAUCGCAACGUCUGACUCGUCUACAUAUAAGGAACUGCAGAUCAUUAGAAAGUAUAUUUAGAAAUAUGGAGGGGCAUAAUGGUAAAGAACCACAAGUUUUAAUAGCUCCAAGUUCAGGGAAGGAAGAAAGUGUAGCGAGAGAAGACGGAACAGCCAGACAUAUUGAGUUCCCCAUACUAACUCAAAUGAGACUUUGUGGAUUGCCAAAACUCAAGUGGAUUUUGGAAGGGGUGGAUACUAUUUUGGAAUGUCCUUCAUUGGAAAAAUUAGAACUGUUCCAAUGUGAACAAGUACUGAUUUGGGCUUCAAAAUUUGGGAGCAGCAGUAGUAGUCAACAGAACCAACUCCAGACUUGCAUUCAACUUCCACUGCCAAAUCUGUUGGAACUUCAAGUAUGGAUUAGUUGGCGGGAGGAAAUAUUCCCUUAUGAACUUGUUGAUCCAGUCCCACGAUUAAGACAACUACAUCUCCGAAGUCUACCUAUGCUUACACAUUUGUGGAAAGAAGACAGUACCCAGCCAUGCCCACUUUUUCAUAAUCUGGAAUUUCUUCAUCUGUCACGAUGCAGAAAAUUGAAAAACAUAGUGCCAUCCUCGGUAUUUCUUCAAAAUUUGACAGAAUUGCACAUAUCAUAUUGUGAUGGAUUGAUCAAUUUAUUAACAUCCACAACUGCCAAAACUCUGGUGCAACUCAAAAAAAUGACUGUGAUGGAAUGCAAAAGGAUUACAGAAAUUGUAGCAAUGGAGGAUGGUGAAGAACAUGUGGCAAUUACUUUCAACAAAUUAGCACACUUAGAACUUGUAGACUUACCAAACCUCACACACUUUUGCUCUGGACCUUAUUCCUUUGGAGAAUCUUUGAAGAAUGUAAUUGUGACACGUUGUCCCGAGAUGAAGCCUUUAUGUCGCGGAGUCUCAAGUACACCAGAGCUAAAAGGAGUAUAUCAUACUUGAAUUUGCAUUGGGAGUCAAAUCACUACGAUACAGCUCAAUUGUUAUUCAGAGAAAGGAACCCAAGCCUUCACAGAUGAGAGGAAGCUAGUAUGUAAAGAUG
This is an RNA transcript of Juglans regia (Persian walnut), 5275 nucleotides long. It is a transcript of the gene named probable disease resistance protein At4g27220, with no coding region annotated. Lineage: Eukaryota; Viridiplantae; Streptophyta; Magnoliopsida; Fagales; Juglandaceae. The record is from RefSeq and is a predicted model, not a curated record. The transcript has 7 exons.